GGCUUCGUAGCUCAGUUGCUAGAGCGCUUGCCGCAAUGAGGCAUGUUUCUGUCGCUGGUUCGAAUCCAGCCAAAGCCC
RNAcentral lists this transfer RNA (78 nucleotides) under Paragonimus skrjabini miyazakii. RNAcentral describes it as "Paragonimus miyazakii tRNA". It matches the Rfam family "tRNA". Rfam says of the family: Transfer RNA (tRNA) molecules are approximately 80 nucleotides in length. Their secondary structure includes four short double-helical elements and three loops (D, anti-codon, and T loops). Further hydrogen bonds mediate the characteristic L-shaped molecular structure. tRNAs have two regions of fundamental functional importance: the anti-codon, which is responsible for specific mRNA codon recognition, and the 3' end, to which the tRNAs corresponding amino acid is attached (by aminoacyl-tRNA synthetases). tRNAs cope with the degeneracy of the genetic code in two manners: having more than one tRNA (with a specific anti-codon) for a particular amino acid; and 'wobble' base-pairing, i.e. permitting non-standard base-pairing at the 3rd anti-codon position. Lineage: Eukaryota; Metazoa; Platyhelminthes; Trematoda; Plagiorchiida; Troglotrematidae. The record is from Rfam by way of RNAcentral.